Molecule: ribosomal RNA, 258 nt
Filed under: Rhyticoris terminalis
Lineage: Eukaryota; Metazoa; Arthropoda; Insecta; Hemiptera; Coreidae
Description: partial small subunit ribosomal RNA
Source: RNAcentral
AAUUAAUUAAGAUUGAUUCUGUCUUAAAUUUAUUUAUUUUUAAUUAGCUGUUUUAUUUUAGAUAAUAUUAAAUAUAAGUUUUUGCGUGAUUUAAUUAUUUAUCUAAAUGAUUGUAAUUAUAUUUUGGUUGUAGUUUUUAAUUUUUUGUAUUGCAUAAGUGUAGAUCUUAGUUAAUUUUUAAGAGUUGUUAAAUGUUGUGCCAGCAAACGCGGUUACACAAUUGACUCGAGUUAAUUUUUUUGGUUAUGUAUUUAUUUU